RNAcentral lists this long non-coding RNA (337 nucleotides) under Nicotiana benthamiana. Its description in RNAcentral is "long non-coding RNA (NBEN_LNC042499)". Lineage: Eukaryota; Viridiplantae; Streptophyta; Magnoliopsida; Solanales; Solanaceae. The record is from RNAcentral.
GGUCAACAUCUUGGUAAAUGGACCCGAACCCAUGAUUUGACGGUUCUGGAGUGUCCAUAGGAAAAUAUGGGGUUUGGGCGUAUGCCCGAAAUCGAAUUUCGAGGUCCCACGCCGAGAUAUGAAUUUUUAAGUGAAAUUAUUAUUUGAAAAUGUUUAAAGAGAAUUGAAGUGAAAUCUAAUUUGAAAGUAAUGGUAUUGAGCCCGAAUUUUUGGUUCCGGCGCCCUGUACAAGUCUCAUAUGUGUUUUGAAUCACUCUUACAAAGUUUGGUUAAAAACGAACGUCAUUUGACGCGAUCCGGACCCUAAUUAGAAAAUUUAUGCAUAAAAGAAGUUUUG